AGAGAGUGUUUGUGAGUGUGUGUGUGUGUGAGAGUGUGUGGAUGAUGAUGUGCUGGUGGCAGAGGGAGAGCGCCUGAAGGGAAAGCCAAAGGUAAACGAGGGAGAGAGAAAGAAAAGAAAAGGUGAUAGAGUGAGAGAGAGAAGGAACACUAAGGCAUGAAGAGAAGGUGAUAGAGUGAGAGAGAGAAGGAAAAGAAAAGGUGAUAGAGUGAGAGAGAGAAGGAACACUAAGGCAUGAAGAGAAGGUGAUAGAGUGAGAGAGAGAAGGAAAAGAAAAGGUGAUAGAGUGAGAGAGAGAAGGAAAAGAAAAGGUGAUAGAGUGAGAGAGAG
Molecule: long non-coding RNA, 330 nt
Organism: Clupea harengus (Atlantic herring)
Lineage: Eukaryota; Metazoa; Chordata; Actinopteri; Clupeiformes; Clupeidae
Source: Ensembl